UACGGAGGUGGCAAGCGUUAUCCGGAAUUAUUGGGCGUAAAGCGCGCGCAGGCGGUUUCUUAAGUCUGAUGUGAAAGCCCACGGCUCAACCGUGGAGGGUCAUUGGAAACUGGGAGGCUUGAGUGCAGAAGAGGAAAGUGGAAUUCCAUGUGUAGCGGUGAAAUGCGUAGAGAUAUGGAGGAACACCAGUGGCGAAGGCGGCUUUCUGGUCUGUAACUGACGCUGAGGCGCGAAAGCGUGGGGAGCAAACAGG
Molecule: ribosomal RNA, 253 nt
Filed under: uncultured bacterium
Lineage: Bacteria
Description: partial 16S ribosomal RNA
Rfam family: Bacterial small subunit ribosomal RNA
Source: RNAcentral